AACGAACUCUGGCGGCGUGCUUAACACAUGCAAGUCGAACGAGACCUUCGGGCAUAGUGGCGCACGGGUGCGUAACGCGUGGGAACCUGCCCUUAGGUUCCGAAUAACUCCCAGAAAGGGAUGCUAAUACGGGAUAAUGUCUUCGGACCAAAGAUUUAUCGCCUUUGGAUGGGCCCGCGUUGGUUUAGCUUGUUGGUAGGGUAAAAGCCUACCAAGGCGACGAUCCAUAGCUGGUCUGAGAGGAUGAUCAGCCACACUGGGACGGAGACACGGCACAGACUCCUACGGGAGGGAGCAGUGGGGAAUAGUGUACAAUGGGCGAAAGCCUGAUCCAGCCAUGCCGCGUGAGGGAUGAAGGCCGUAGGGUUGUAAAGCUCUUUUACACGGGAUGAUAAUGACAGUACCGGGAGAAUAAGCUCCGGCUAACUCCGUG
This 433-nucleotide ribosomal RNA is filed under the name uncultured bacterium. Its description in RNAcentral is "partial 16S ribosomal RNA". It matches the Rfam family "Bacterial small subunit ribosomal RNA", at positions 29 to 507 of the family's 1533-position model. The record is from RNAcentral.